GUCCCGCCUGCCCUGUGACCACAAGUUUAACGGCCGCGGUAUUUUGACCGUGCAAAGGUAGCGCAAUCACUUGUCUUUUAAAUGAAGACCUGUAUGAAUGGCAUGACGAGGGCUUAACUGUCUCUUCUUUCCAGUCAAUGAAACUGAUCUCCCCGUGCAGAAGCGGGGAUAUCCCCAUAAGACGAGAAGACCCUAUGGAGCUUUAGACAUAGGACAGACCAUGUUAAACACCUCUAAUUAAAGAACAAAACUAAUUGGCACCUGCUCUAAUGUCUUUGGUUGGGGCGACCGCGGGGAAACAAAAAACCCCCAUGUGGACUGAAGAGACCCCUCUUCACAGUCAAGAGCCACAGCUCUAAACAACAGAACUUCUGACCAACAAGAUCCGGCAAAGCCGAUCAACGGACCGAGUUACCCUAGGGAUAACAGCGCAAUCUCCUUCUAGAGCCCAUAUCGACAAGGAGGUUUACGACCUCGAUGUUGGAUCAGGACAUCCUAAUGGUGCAGCCGCUAUUAAGGG
This 520-nucleotide ribosomal RNA is filed under the name Paretroplus dambabe. RNAcentral describes it as "partial 16S ribosomal RNA". It matches the Rfam family "Bacterial large subunit ribosomal RNA", at positions 1852 to 2571 of the family's 2925-position model. The record is from RNAcentral. Lineage: Eukaryota; Metazoa; Chordata; Actinopteri; Cichliformes; Cichlidae.